This is a long non-coding RNA of Equus caballus (horse), 4469 nucleotides long. RefSeq lists it as uncharacterized. The record is from RefSeq and is a predicted model, not a curated record. Lineage: Eukaryota; Metazoa; Chordata; Mammalia; Perissodactyla; Equidae.
AGAACUUCCCAGCGCAGAGCACUGCCCUCCACUUGCCAUGAAGAAAGAACAGCUCUUCCCCCUUCCCCCUACUUCCUUCCCUAACAAUUCCCUCCAAAGACCUCAUGUGAGGCAGGGCAAGGGAGGUGUCCACGCCCAGUCCAGAGACACUGCGGCCAGGGUGCGUGUGGGCGCACAGCAGGGGAAAGAGGGCACCGGCUGGCCUGAGAGGGGUGAGGAGGUGGUCUGUGUAGGGCGGGGGAUGGCCCAGUAGGGGGUCAGAGCCUGAGUAGUGAGGCAGGACAGCCUGGCAUGGUGUCGGAUCAGAGGAAGAGGACACAGCGGAGGGGCUGCCCAGUGUGGGUAUGCAACCUGAGCAGGGUGAAGGCGGCAUCCACAAGGAGGGCGCAAAGGGGAUCCCCUUGGGAGGGUUGGUGGCACGAGCUGUCAGAGCCCAGACAAGGAGAGGGGCAUUAAGCAGGAGCAGCAUCCUGGCAUGUGCCCAGCUGAGAGGAGGGCAUCUGAGCAGGGUGGGGCUGUGGGGCCGACACGGAAGAUGGGUUAGGUGGAGAGCCUGGUCUAACAGGUCGCUAUAUAUGGGAAGCCGGCUCUCCCUGUCUGGGGAGGAAAUUACAAAUAUGGAAAAGGAGGAGACUAGAAUGGACCUGCCCUGUUUGUUGGAACUGGAGGAACUAUGUCUGGGAACUCAAACUUUUUGGGAAACUUGCCAUCAGGUGGGGCAUGUCAGCUGGAGGCAGAUGGCUGCAUUCCCAAGGAAAGAGGAGAGAGGAGGAAGAAAGCUGGGAACCAACGUGGAAAAACGGGCAAGAACCACAGCCAAACGAUAUCCCAGGAACAGGCCACGGCUGCCCAGGACACGUCUUCCACCCGCCCCGCCACUGGUGGAUUUGGACUCCUGCCCAUGCCACCAGGCACGUACCUCCCCACCCCCAGCCCAGCCCCUCCUCUGGGCAUUGCUUAGGGUGGAGGCUCAGCCGAGGCCACUGCCAGGCUGCGGCCACCAUGGAAGGGCAGGGAGGACUUCUGGGGACUCUAAACAGAAGCUGAAUGAUGAGUAGGAGUGUGUGUGUGUGGUGAGGGAGAUGGUCAGUGUUCUGGUAGAGGGGACGAGCGUGGGACAUCCUGGGGAUCGUUCCUGUGGCACAGAGCAGGGAGCGUAUGUAGAUACACCAAUGAGGAAUAAAACAGAAGCCCACACUCUACAUUUACAGAGUACUACUGGGGACUUCUGGUUCUAGCCCUAAGAGGGUAACAGGUAUCAGACUUACCUCCCCGCCAUGAACAACUAGAAAACUGGGCAGAUUAUAUGAAGCAACUGUUUCUAAGCACUGGAUGACACCGCAGGGCUGUGGUCCCUAGAGAAGGACACACAUGAGGGCAGCUCCACCUUCACUCGGUGUUCUGCCUGGAGGCAGCCCAGGCACUUUCUAAACCACAGCAGAGGGGAGGGAGGCCCAGGGAGCAGUAAUCUCACUGGGCAGAGAAAGCAGAGGCUGGAGCUCAGGGCUGCUGAGGUGGCUGGUAUUUGUGGGGUUCCAGAGAGGAAAAGGUCAAGCAGAGAAGGAUCCCCAGGAAGUUACGCAGGAGUCCCCUUGAGUUUUCAAGCAAACACUUAGCUACACAUGCACAAGGCGAGGGUUUGUGGAGCCUCUCAGAGAAGAGCCACCAGGGAGCCAAAGGGAGACUCCAGAGGACACCCAGCAAGGGGAGACGUCGGAGUUCUGACCAGCCAGAAGGACAAGACCUUGCCGAAGACACCAGGUACUCAGUUGUGACCUCAGAAAAGCCACUCUCUUUUAAAAGUUAGUUUAGUGAGGUAUCGUUUACACAUAGUAAAAUUCACCAUUUUUAGGUGUACACUUCUGAGUUUUGACAAACGCGUACAGUCAUGUAAACACAUCAUGAUCAAGAUAUAAAACAUUUCUAUUACCCAAAAACAUUCCAUGUGCCCUUUAACCAUCAUUUCCUCACCCUCCUAGGGCCCCUGUGACCACUGCUCUGAUUUUGAUCCUUCUGAGAGGGCCACAGUUUCAGUGGAGAACUGCGCUAGCCCUGGAGUAAGGGCUGUUCCAGACCCAUCCAGACAAAGCCGAAAAACGAGUCUUGACAGGAUAAAACUGAUGUACAAAAAAAUGCAGCUAACCGCCAAAGCCAAACUCAGUAAUCUUUAAAGGAAGACAACAAAAUCCAGACUCUCAACAAGGUACUAUCACAAUGUCCAACAUCCAAGCAAAAAUGAUUAGAGAUGCGAUAAAGCAGGAAAAUGUGAAUCAUAACCAGAAGAAAAGUUAGCCAAUAAAGAGCCCCAUGGAAUUCAUGGGGCAAAGUGGAGGUACCCUCUGUCAUUAUGUAUUUUCCCAUCGGUAGACGGUUAGUUCCCCUGAAGCAGCGUUAACAUUAAAAAGGAGUUCUUGGAAGCAAAAGAGAGAGAGCCACAGGCAUAGGGGCCAUCCAGAACCCAAGUGUCCAUCAAGACGGCCAGUAGGUGCACAAUGUGGACGGUCCUAGAGCCGGGCACUGGGACCCAGAGUUGUGGGCUGCACAACUACAGCCCUGAGGGGUUCAGCCUGGGUGAAGAUAGAUAAGAGCACAGCACAGAUGGCAGAUGCCAUGAGAGGCACAGCAAAGGCUCUUGGGCACCAGAGGGUGAGAGUUAUGGAAGUCUUCGUGGAGGAGGUUCCUUUUGAAUUGAGCUUUAAAAGAUGGUUGGAUGUCAACUGCAUCUCAAUAAAAAUUUGUAAAAAAUAAGAAUAAAAAUAAAAGAUGGUUGGGAAAUAAAUAAAACAGUUUUUGGAAUCACCCAUAACAUCAUCCAUUGCCCAAAAGUCACGGCUGUUGGUGUUCUGGUAAAUUUCUUCUCUUUGAAUUCUCUUUUUAUUUUCUCCUAAAUGUAGCUCGAACCCUCUCUCCUCAAUUCUGUUUUGCAUUUUUCAGUUAAUGUCAUUUUGAAAAGCAUUUUCUGAAAAUUCUUUGUAACCAAUUUUGACAGCUGUGAAAUGUCAUUAAGUGUCUAUGACAUGAUCCAAUUAGCCAGCUCUCUAUUGUUGAAUAUUUAGGUGAUUUUCAAGUUCUAAUUAAUGCUGCAAUAAGCACUUUGUUCUCCCCUUUUUCUGAUUAGUCCCUUAAGUUACAUUCCCAGGAGUGGAAUAAUUGGCUCAAAAGAUAUAAACAUUGUAAAGUUCCUGAUACCUACUGCCAAGUGACUUUUCUGGAAAGUUGCACAAAUUUACACUCCCUCCAUACCUACACUCACAUGACGUCUGUCCCCAAAUUGUGUCCCGUCUAUCUUUCUGUCCUCAGUGCCCAGAAUAGGACAGGAGCCCAGUGACACCCCUUGCAUCAUUUGUGACCACACUUUCACAAAAGGGCAGGGUUAUCCAGGGUCCAGAAAAGAGCCCUGAGAGAUUCUCCAGGGGCCAAGACUCAGCCAAGUGUAGGUGGGCUCGGGGGCCUCCAGAGCCAGGCUCGAACCCCUGGCGUGGAGAUGGGACGGCUCUUAGAGACCCGUAAGUUCAAUUUCUCAUUUGAAGGUCAAGGAAACUGGGAUCAGGAGGGGCAGGUAGCUUUCAAAGUGCCUGUUUCUCGGGAUUCUGGUCCUGGAGGUGUGGAGGCUGGGCCAGGAUGUUGGGGCCUCAGGCUCCCAGCAGGACCCACCAGCCAGGGACCUCAAGCCCUGAGCUGGCCUCCCUGGGGUCACUCCAUCCCACACAUUUUGCUGUGCUGUGGAUGCGAGGAGCUGGAGGCCAAGGCCUCUGAGCAAAUGUCCAAAGGCAGGCCAGGGGGAAGACAACAUCUGACCCAGGAGAGGCGAGUUUGCUCUCCCUCUUGCAUGAGCGUUUCCCUGUCUCGUAGUCCAGGAAAGACACUAAGAUGGCUGUCACCCCUUUCAGAGACCCAGUGUCCCAGAAUCACACCAUCUCGGGGCAUCUGGAGCGGGAAUCUCUUCCUCAACCUCCCAGACCACCAGGCGGCCAGCUUCAGCCUCCGAGAAGCUGAGACCAGGAGCAAGCGCCUGAACCUCUCUGAGCCUCAGCUUCUUCGUCUGUGAACAGGGGCUGGUCACACGAGUGUCCAGGGCUACUGUGAACAUCGUAGGGUAACGUGUGUAAAGUCCUUGUGCCUUGCACUUGGGCCACAGCUGUCCAACGCAGGACACACACCAGCACGGGGCUAUGUUGUUUGGAGAUGCUCAGCCCUCAUCACGGCUGAGAGCUGCUUUUCCUGUGUAGACUGUUACGUUGGUGGCCUCCAGGGAACACCACCUCCCGUGUUCGUGACCUUCUGUAGUCCCCAGGCCUUGUGACUUGCUUGGCCAGUAGAAUGUGGCAGAAGUGAUGCUGUGCCAGUUCCAGGCCUACACCUUAAGAGGCCUGGCAGCCUCUGCUUUCCUGCUCUCCUGGAACUCGGCCACCACGCUGUAAGGAGGUCAGGCUGUCCUGCUGGAGAGAAAGGCAUGAGGGCAGCUGCAG